UAUGGCUCAGAUUGAACGCUAGCGGGAUGCCUUACACAUGCAAGUCGAACGGCAGCACGGACUUCGGUCUGGUGGCGAGUGGCGAACGGGUGAGUAAUGUAUCGGAACGUGCCUAGUAGCGGGGGAUAACUACGCGAAAGCGUAGCUAAUACCGCAUACGCCCUACGGGGGAAAGCAGGGGAUCGUAAGACCUUGCACUAUUAGAGCGGCCGAUAUCGGAUUAGCUAGUUGGUGGGGUAAUGGCUCACCAAGGCGACGAUCCGUAGCUGGUUUGAGAGGACGACCAGCCACACUGGGACUGAGACACGGCCCAGACUCCUACGGGAGGCAGCAGUGGGGAAUUUUGGACAAUGGGGGAAACCCUGAUCCAGCCAUCCCGCGUGUGCGAUGAAGGCCUUCGGGUUGUAAAGCACUUUUGGCAGGAAAGAAACGCCGCGGGUUAAUACCCUGCGGAACUGACGGUACCUGCAGAAUAAGCACCGGCUAACUACGUGCCAGCAGCCGCGGUAAUACGUAGGGUGCAAGCGUUAAUCGGAAUUACUGGGCGUAAAGCGUGCGCAGGCGGUUCGGAAAGAAAGAUGUGAAAUCCCAGAGCUUAACUUUGGAACUGCAUUUUUAACUACCGAGCUAGAGUGUGUCAGAGGGAGGUGGAAUUCCGCGUGUAGCAGUGAAAUACGUAGAUAUGCGGAGGAACACCGAUGGCGAAGGCAGCCUCCUGGGAUAAC
This 725-nucleotide ribosomal RNA is filed under the name Achromobacter sp. 110602_136_C_B10. RNAcentral's name for it is "bacterial SSU rRNA". It matches the Rfam family "Bacterial small subunit ribosomal RNA", at positions 18 to 738 of the family's 1533-position model. Lineage: Bacteria; Pseudomonadati; Pseudomonadota; Betaproteobacteria; Burkholderiales; Alcaligenaceae. The record is from RNAcentral.